This 389-nucleotide ribosomal RNA is filed under the name uncultured bacterium. RNAcentral describes it as "bacterial SSU rRNA". It matches the Rfam family "Bacterial small subunit ribosomal RNA", at positions 30 to 417 of the family's 1533-position model. The record is from RNAcentral.
AUUGAACGCUGGCGGCAUGCUUUACACAUGCAAGUCGAACGGCAGCACGGGGGCUUGCUCCUGGUGGCGAGUGGCGAACGGGUGAGUAAUGCAUCGGAACGUACCCAGUAGUGGGGGAUAGCCCGGCGAAAGCCGGAUUAAUACCGCAUAUUUCCUGAGGGAGAAAGCGGGGGACCUUCGGGCCUCGCGCUACUGGAGCGGCUGAUGUCGGAUUAGCUAGUUGGUGAGGUAAAGGCUCACCAAGGCGACGAUCCGUAGCUGGUCUGAGAGGAUGAUCAGCCACACUGGGACUGAGACACGGCCCAGACUCCUACGGGAGGCAGCAGUGGGGAAUUUUGGACAAUGGGGGCAACCCUGAUCCAGCCAUGCCGCGUGAGUGAAGAAGGCCU